UGUCUCUACCCCCGUUAGCUUCAUCUGUUCUGAGGUCUGUUGCUAAAAGCAAUCGGAAGGUCAGACAGGAUGCAAGCAGAAGAAAAAUAAACUUAUUUAUUUGACAAAGGAGAUUCAGUGACAGUUAUCAAAAUAAAAACAAAGAAAAACCUGCUUAUUCUGCUUCCCAACAUAGAGUGGAUGGAAAAAAAAAUGCCUUUUUAAAAAUAUCAUAUAUGUUUUUAACUUCUUUUUUUUAGCAUGCCAUUUCUUUUCUUUUCUUUUUUUUAUUAACUUGAGUAUUUCUUAUUUACAUUUCUAGUGUUAUUCCCUUUCCUGGUUUCCGGGCCAACAUUCACCUAACUCCUCCCCUCCCCUUCUAUAUGGGUGUUCCACUCUCCAUUCUCACCCCAUUGCCGCCCUCCCCACAACAAUCAUAUUCACUGGGGGUUCAGUCUUAGCAGGACCCAGGACUUCCCCUUACACUGGUGAUCUUACUAGGAUAUUCAAUGCUACCUAUGAAAUGAGAUUCCAGGGUCAGUCCAUGUAUAGUCUUUAGGUAGUGGCUUAGUCCCUGGAAGCUCAGCUUGGUUGGCAUUUUUGUUCAUAUGAGAUGUUGAGCCCCUUCAAGCUUUCCAGUUCUUUUUCUGAUUCCUUCAACGGGGGUCCUGUUAUCAGUUCAGUGGUUUGCUACUGGCCUUAGACUCUGUAUUUGCUGCAUUCUGGCUGUGUAUCUCAGGAGAGAUCUGCAUCCGCCUCCUGUCGGCCUGCACUUCUUUGCUUCAUCCAUCUUGUAUAAUUGGGUAGCUGUAUAUGUAAGGGCCACAUGUAGGGCAGGCUCUGAAUGGGUGUUCCUUCUGUGUCUGUUUUAAUCUUUUCCUCUCUAUUCCCUGCCAAGGGUAUUCUUAUUCACCUUUUAAAGAAGGAGUGUAGCAUUCGCAUUUUGAUCAUCCAUCUUGCGUUCCAUGUGUUCUAUGCAUCUAGGGUAAUUCAAGCAGUUGUGCUAAUAGCCACUUAUCAUGUGCAUGCCAUGUGUGUUUUUAUGUGAUUGGGUUACCUCACUCAGGAUGAUGUUUUCAAGCUCCAACCAUUUUUCUAUAAAUUUCAUAAAGGCAUUGUUUUUGACAUCUGAGUAAUACUCCAUUGAGUAAAUGUACCACAUUUUCUGUAUCCAUUCCUCUGUUGAAGGGCAUCUGGGUUCUGUCCAGCUUCUGGCUAUUAUAAAUAAGGGGGUGAUGAACAUAGUGGAGCAUGUGUCUUUUUUAUAUGUUGGGGCAACUUUUGGGUAUAUGCCGAAGAGUGGUACAGCUGGAUCCUCAGGUAGUUCAAUGUGAAAUUUUCCUAGGAAUCUCCAGACUGAUUUCCAGAAUGGUUGUACCAAUUUGCACUCCCACCAAUAGUGGAGGAGUGUUCCUCUUUCUCCACAUCCUCGCCAGCAUUUAUUUUUACCUGAGUUUUUGAUCUUAGCUAUUCUCACUGGUGUGAGGUGAAAUCUCAGGGUUGUUUUGAUUUGCAUUUCCCUUAUGACUUAAGAUGUUGAACAUUUCUUUAGGUGUUUCUCAGCCAUUCGGCAUUCCUCAGCUGUGAAUUCUUUGUUUAGUUCUGAACCCCAUUUUUUAAUAGGGUUAUUUGUCUAACUUCUUGGGUUUUUUGCAUCUUUUUAAUAUAAGCCCUCUAUCUGUUGUUGGAUUGGUAAAUAUCUUUUCCCAAUCUCUUGGUUGCCGUUUUAUCCUAACCACAGUGUCCUUUCCCUUCCAGAAGCUUUGCAGUUUUAUGAGACCCCAUUUGUCAAUUCUUGAUCUUAGAGCAUAAACCAUUGGUGUUUUGUUCAGAAAAUUUUUUCCAGUGCCCAUGUGUUUGAGAUGCUGGCCUAGUUUUUCUUCUAUUAGUUUGACUGUAUCUGGUUUGAUUUGGAGGUCCUUAAUCCACUUGGACUUAAGCGUUGCACACGGUGAUAAGCAUGGAACGAUUUGCACUCUUCUACAUGCUGACCUCCAGUUGAACCAGCACCAUUUCCUGAAAAUGCUCUUUUUUCCAUUGAAUGGUUUUGGCUCCUUUGUCAAAAGUAAAGUGCCCAUAGGUGUGUGUGUUCAUUUCUGGGAGCUGCCUUAUGUAUAAUACCCAAGAGCUAGAAGAAUCCGUAAUGGCAUUCAUCAAAGGAAUGAAUACAGAAAAUGUAGUACAUCUAAACAAUUGUGUACUACUCAACUCUUAAAACCAAUUAUCUCAAGAAAGCCAAAGACAAAUGGGAUGAUCUAGAAAAUAUCAUAAUGUUUGAGGUUACCCAAUCACAAAAUGGUAUGAAAUCACACAUUUUAUGAAAUCACCAAAAGUGGAUAUUGGCACAAAAGCUAAAAUUACCAAAGAUGCAGUUCACAGACAACUGGAAGCUCAAUAAAAUGAUACACAAAAUGUGCAUGCUUUAAUCCUUUUCAAAAGGUGGACACAAUAAUAUCUAUGAAUUUCGAGCAGAGACUGAGGAAAUCCCAUUCAGAGCAGGCCGUACAUGUGGCAAAAAUAUAUACACAUCAGUCACCAAAACUAGAUAAGAUUGAUGGAGCUAAGAAGUGCAUUGUGCCAGGGACUGUAUAGAGAUCUUUCCUGUGAGACACAGCUAGAGCAUAUCAAAUAAAGAAGUGAAUUCUAGAGGCAAAUCAGUGAAUUGAAAACAGACAGUAGGGGAGUUAUAGAAAAAGAGGAGUGGGGCCGGUUAGGGAUCAUAUGUGCAGGUAAUAGGGAAAGGAAAUAACAUUUCAAAUGUAAAUAUAGAAAUACCCAAUUAAAACAGGAAUAAAAUUUGCUAAAAAAAUAAAAAGAAAUAAAGAAAUUUAAGAAAAGAACACUGCGAAGUAUUCACAGCUAUUGACUCAGAAAUGUAAAAGUCAUUUUCAUGGAAUGAUAGUCAGAGUAAUACUAAUGGAAAGACUGAGAUGAUGAAGACUCAACUAGAAACACUUCUCUCUCCCAGAUAUCAGUAUCAGACAAAAACUGCACUAUAGGCAUCCAGAGCAUGGUGGAAUUUACUCUGAGGCGAGGACUCAAUACUUGUCUUUCCAUUCUUCCUUAGGACCAUUUUCUUCUUGACAAAAAGAAUAAGGCUAUGAGAUCUCAGCAAAACAACUGUGCCCUGCCCAUCACUUGGCUUUGGAAUAAAAAAAAUAAUGAUAUAAACUCUUUGACUUCCAGGAAUGAUAUGAACAGGAACUGUAAGAGCAGGAAGUCCACAUGCUUCUGAGAGGACCCCAGCUCCUAAUUCCCAUUUGUAGAUGGCUCAGAUCAAGACAAUCUCUUCAUGAAACAACACAACACCUACUAAGGACUCAGAGAGCUUUCCCAAGGACCUUUUUUGUACCAAGACAGAAGGACCAAAACCAUCAGCUUUAAAGAAAACUGUGCCCUUCCCAACACUUGGCUUUGGAAAAAAGACAUGAAUGAUAUAAAUUCUCCGACUUCCAGGAACCAUAACUAGCAGGGAAGUCCAGA
Rattus norvegicus (Norway rat) is the source of this 3462-nucleotide non-coding RNA. Lineage: Eukaryota; Metazoa; Chordata; Mammalia; Rodentia; Muridae. The record is from RefSeq and is a predicted model, not a curated record.